CAUCUCUCCUUACACAUUCAGAAACUCCAUUUGAAGGAAUAAGAACUUCCUAAAUACAGGCUAGAAUUUAUUACAGAAAUAGCAUAUUUUAAUUGAAAAUUAAAUUUAUGAAAGCAUUGACGUGACUUAGCAACAACUUUGACAAGAUCUUUUGACCGAAAUAUAAGCGUCUUUAUCAUACUAUCAUUUGCAACUCAGUUCCCCAUUUUAAUCAUCCUUGCAUUUUUCAACACAAUGGCUAGAUCAAACAUAUAUAAAUUAAAUAAAAAGGUAUGAAGACAAUAACUCUAAUCAUCAUCACUGAGCCUAUUGAGUAGUACUAUAAAUUUGAAAGGUACUUAAUUUACACCUUAUCUAAUGUACACAAAUAAGGAGUUGCCCUAAGCUUGGUUCUUAGUAGAAUAAUUAACAGAAUCCAAAACUUGAAAUCUCGACUUUUUAAUUUAAUCAGCAAAAAAUGAUAAAUGAAUUAACAGCAUGCUAAAGAAUCAAGGAUCAGAUGGCAAAAUUGAACUAUAAAUCAUCACAAAAUAGCAAAAGCACCAUCAGUUCCCAACAUAAUCGAAACUGAUAAAGGAUGACAAAUAAUGAAAAAAACUCAUAAGAGAUUUUUGAAAACUAUAAGAAUUCCAUAAUCAUUGUGGACGUAAGGGGAGUAAAAAUUUCUAGUAUAAACAGAGCCAUCCUUUACAUGAACAUCCACGGGGAGGUCAACAAUGCACAUGGUUAUGAAUAACAAAGCAUCGCUCAUUGUAUGUGAAGACCUCUUGAGAGAAGAUUGAUCAUACUUUCAGAUUUAAUAAGUUCAAAAGUUUAGCAACAGGUUCUUCUUCUAACCUUUUUGUUGCUGUUACAAAGACCAACUCUUUUAUUCUUGUUCAAUCAAAAGCAAAUGAGUAAUAAAAUUUAAUUCAAUAGUGCUAUUUACAAUAUGACCAAUUGAAUGUUGGUUUAGAAUAUGCAUCAGUUAACUGAAAGGAUGUGAUGGACGAAUGUUAAACUAUCAGCAAUUUCUCAUAAUUGACACAGACUUGAAAGGGAUAUGACAGAGGAUUGCAAAAGCACAACUAUGAGAAAAUUAGAUAAAUUAACAAAGAUCAUCAAUUCAUUUCUUUCUAGGUUGAUUGAUAUGAUGAUGAGACAUAUAUUUUCACAUAUUAACAACAAGUGUGAAUAAAUCAUUGGUAAGUACAAUAAUGAAUUUCGAAUAUGAAUAGUUUUUAACAGUAUAGUUUCAAAAUCAUUUGUAUAAUUUCAAAAUUUCGUUCAUGCAUAUUGAAUGUUUAAAAGAACAACGAAACACAUUAAAGUCAACAUUCAUUUGAUUAAAAUAAUAGACUAAAAAUAAAUCAUAAUGCAUAUGAGAACGAAAUAAGGAUUUAAACACAAUUUCAUCUAAUAACACUCAACAGGUUCAGGUACAAUGCUUGAAAAUCUCAAAAUUUAAGAUCAAGAGAAUCCAGCAGAGCGCAGUGUGUAGUUUAGGUUAAACGUGUAAUAUCCAAAGAAAUAAAAUAGAAUGAGGAAAGUAUUACUAAAUGAAAAUAAAGAGAAAAA
Molecule: long non-coding RNA, 1557 nt
Filed under: Olea europaea (common olive)
Lineage: Eukaryota; Viridiplantae; Streptophyta; Magnoliopsida; Lamiales; Oleaceae
Description: long non-coding RNA (OEUR_LNC008151)
Source: RNAcentral